CACGGGGUUGCGAGCGUUGUCCGGAAUUACUAGGCGUAAAGGGCAGGCAGGCGGAUCCAUAAGUUUAUCGUUUAGGGCGUCGGCUUAACCGGCGUAGGGCGGUAGAUACUGUGGAUCUGGAAUGCGGUUGGGGAAGACAGAAUUCCUGGUGUAGCGGUGGAAUGCGCAGAGAUCAGGAGGAAUACCGAAGGCGAAGGCAGUCUUCCAAGCCGUUAUUGACGCUCAACUGCGAAGGUGUGGGGUAUCAAAUAGGAUUAGAUACCCUGGUAGUCCCUGA
This 277-nucleotide ribosomal RNA is filed under the name uncultured prokaryote. RNAcentral's name for it is "partial 16S ribosomal RNA". It matches the Rfam family "Bacterial small subunit ribosomal RNA", at positions 524 to 799 of the family's 1533-position model. The record is from RNAcentral.